AUUGAACGCUGGCGGCAGGCCUAACACCUGCAAGUCGAGCGGAUGAAGGGAGCUUGCUCCUGGAUUCAGCGGCGGACGGGUGAGUAAUGCCUAGGAAUCUGCCUGGUAGUGGGGGAUAACGUCCGGAAACGGGCGCUAAUACCGCAUACGUCCUGAGGGAGAAAGUGGGGGAUCUUCGGACCUCACGCUAUCAGAUGAGCCUAGGUCGGAUUAGCUAGUUGGUGGGGUAAAGGCCUACCAAGGCGACGAUCCGUAACUGGUCUGAGAGGAUGAUCAGUCACACUGGAACUGAGACACGGUCAAGACUCCUACGGGAGGCAGCAGUGGGGAAUAUUGGACAAUGGGCGAAAGCCUGAUCCAGCCAUGCCGCGUGUGUGAAGAAGGUCUUCGGAUUGUAAAGCACUUUAAGUGGGGAGGAAGGGCAGUAAGUUAAUACCUUGCUGUUUUGACGUUACCAACAGAAUAAGCACCGGCUAACUUCGUG
This 484-nucleotide ribosomal RNA is filed under the name uncultured bacterium. Its description in RNAcentral is "partial 16S ribosomal RNA". It matches the Rfam family "Bacterial small subunit ribosomal RNA", at positions 30 to 507 of the family's 1533-position model. The record is from RNAcentral.